UCCAGAAAUCCAUAAGAGAUAUUUUACACCUAAACUAACAGCUUUUUUCCAUAAGUUGCAAAGAAUUCGCUUCUUCAGGAGUGAAUCCCAAUUGAAGCCCUGAUUUCAGCAGACAGUGUACAAAAGCGGAGCCAAUUGCAGACCCAAGUCGUUGAGUCCAAAUGUCAGACAUAAUACCUUUGGCUGAACAAAAACGUCGGCCCUUUGACGAAGAUCUCAGUGGGGGUAACCGAUAGCCGUAAAACGACCCAAGACUUCAGCCGUUGAGCGUAGAAAUUGACAAACUUUAACCGAUAGUAGUUGAGAAAGCUAACCGUAAGAAAAAUUUCAGGUAACAACGAUAGAAUAAUAGUAAUUGUCAUCCUUAAAAUGGCCAAGAUUCUAACCGUUAGCCGCCAAAGCCAACACCCCAUUGGGACUCUCUUUAACUCAGUAGCCCCUCUCUCUCUCUCUCUCUCUCUCUCUCUCUCUCUCUCUCUCUCUCUCUCUUUCCCAUCCAUAACGUGGAUCAAAUCAUAUCUGUUUCUCAAGGCUCUUAUUAGCACUCCAUUCGUUCUUGGGCGUCGCCCUCGCAAUUACACAUGGCGUGUAGUAUUGUUGUUUUAUCCAUUAUUAAAGGCGUUCCCAUGUAUUCUCCGUGCUUCGAUGAGCGAGGUGUAUACAUUCAUAGUGUAAAUACCUGUCCAAAGUUUCUUUGUGGAAGAGAAAGAACAUGCCUACCGUCUCUCCUCCUUUCAUAGUAGAAUGCUGAUGGAUGGUCCGCAAGGUAAUUUGAAUUGCAGAUUUGUUUAGACUCGUUUCGCAUUAAUUUUAUUUGUACUAGGAUGAUUGCACGUGGAGCUUCGUAGAACUUCGCUUGGUCGUUUGGUCUUGGGGUGCUAACUUCGAAUAGCAGUUUUCGGCCGGAUAAAUUCUUGGCUUACAUGUGUAGGGAACCCUUACUCCUAAAGUUUGGUUUGGCUGUGCAACGUUCCUGGCACGUGGAUUACAGCCGGCAACGGCAAACCGAGACGUCUUCUACGUUUUCUUUGAGCCACGCAAUCACAAAACAUGAAGGGAUUACAAAGGACCGUUAAAUAGAUCAAGGUCGUAAAGAGAUAUCAUAGUCAGUACAGAUUUGAAAGUUGUUGCCAGGAGUUUCGAUAGAAGAUGAUGACAAAAGAUUCAAAUAAUCGAUGACUAAAAUAAAUGUAAUCAAAGAUCGUACCGGAUAUUCAAAUAUUCAUCCGUUUGAAAAUUACUUCUAAAGAAGCAACGUAUGCGCUUUUAAAAGGGCCCAUGGAAUUUGGAAAAAAACUAAGUCUUCUUGCGCGAAAAAUUUAACUUGAGGUGCCGAUGAAAUAAGAUAAAAAAAUGAAGUCUUUUGGCGGGAAAUUUUGGUCUAUGGAAAAAAAAAAAUUUGCCUUUUGAAUUGUGUCCGAUGUUGAUCCAAAUGUAUACGAAGUGUUUUGAUGGGAAAAAUCGUUCAUUGUGCAAAUGAUUUUCUCCUAUCAAAAGUGAAGUUUAUAAUUUUUUUAACAAUGGACGCAGAAUUUUUUCCUCUCGUCAACCCUCCAUACGCAAAAAAAAGUAAAAGAGCCUAUAUUUUGACUUGUUAUCAGGCCCUUUUAAAAGCGCGGAUUUUUUUCUUUAUUUAUAUACAUUCUAAAGAGACAAAUAAAAGUUGAGAAAAAGACAAGAUUGUAAAUGAAGUUUAUUAGUCUGCAAGUUUAUUCACAUAAAGCAAUUAAAAUAUUUACUACAGCUAACAAGCGUAACCGAACAUUACAGAACCACUUCAAAUAAUAAAGAGUAAAAGUAAAAAGUAAGACAAACUUGCUGAUUUACAACGUGCUUGACAAGAAUUUUUGAGAAAGAAAAUAAGUAAACAAUAAAUUAACUACUUUAAAUGUACGAUAAUUCGCAAAGUCUGAUCCGUACCUUGACCAAUAAAAAAAUUUUGUGAAUUCGUACCGAAAAAUUUUAAAAUAAAACAUCCA
Stylophora pistillata is the source of this 1979-nucleotide long non-coding RNA. The record is from RefSeq and is a predicted model, not a curated record. NCBI's taxonomy places the organism in Eukaryota, Metazoa, Cnidaria, Anthozoa, Scleractinia, Pocilloporidae.